UCCCUGGUGGCUCAGAUGGUUAAGAAUCUGCCUUCAAUGCAGAAAACCUGGGUUCGAUCCCUGGGUUGGGAA
RNAcentral lists this transfer RNA (72 nucleotides) under Bos taurus (domestic cattle). It matches the Rfam family "tRNA". Rfam says of the family: Transfer RNA (tRNA) molecules are approximately 80 nucleotides in length. Their secondary structure includes four short double-helical elements and three loops (D, anti-codon, and T loops). Lineage: Eukaryota; Metazoa; Chordata; Mammalia; Artiodactyla; Bovidae. The record is from Rfam by way of RNAcentral. RNAcentral also lists the same sequence under 5 other names.